AGCCCGGUGGUGUAGCGGCCAAGCAUGGCGGGCUUUGGCCCCGCUGACAGCGGUCCGAAUCCGCUCCGGGCUA
RNAcentral lists this transfer RNA (73 nucleotides) under Thermoprotei archaeon. RNAcentral's name for it is "tRNA-Gln". It matches the Rfam family "tRNA". Rfam says of the family: Transfer RNA (tRNA) molecules are approximately 80 nucleotides in length. Their secondary structure includes four short double-helical elements and three loops (D, anti-codon, and T loops). Lineage: Archaea; Thermoproteati; Thermoproteota; Thermoprotei. The record is from RNAcentral. RNAcentral also lists the same sequence under 4 other names.